GUCUUUGUGGCGCAAUAGGUCAGCGCAGCCGGCUGUUAUCUGAAAAGAUGGUGGUUCAAGUCCACCCAGGGAUG
Molecule: transfer RNA, 74 nt
Filed under: Perca fluviatilis (European perch)
Lineage: Eukaryota; Metazoa; Chordata; Actinopteri; Perciformes; Percidae
Rfam family: tRNA
About the family: Transfer RNA (tRNA) molecules are approximately 80 nucleotides in length. Their secondary structure includes four short double-helical elements and three loops (D, anti-codon, and T loops).
Source: Rfam by way of RNAcentral